GAGGGAUUAGUUAAAUUCAUAACACUGCCUUGUCAAGACAGAAUCACUAGUUAAAUCCUUGUACCCCUCU
RNAcentral lists this transfer RNA (70 nucleotides) under Aquarana catesbeiana (American bullfrog). Its description in RNAcentral is "Rana catesbeiana (bullfrog) tRNA". It matches the Rfam family "tRNA". From Rfam's summary of the family: Transfer RNA (tRNA) molecules are approximately 80 nucleotides in length. Lineage: Eukaryota; Metazoa; Chordata; Amphibia; Anura; Ranidae. The record is from Rfam by way of RNAcentral.